This 2861-nucleotide long non-coding RNA is filed under the name Marmota monax (woodchuck). The record is from RNAcentral. Lineage: Eukaryota; Metazoa; Chordata; Mammalia; Rodentia; Sciuridae.
UUUCAUAUUUUCUUCCCACAGAUUUUGUUUUUCACUCUUGUCAGUCAUAUCUGAAAGGCUGACAGUUACCAGGGGCUGUGGCCAGCACUAGGGAGAAUGUGUCAUUACUGGCUAUGUUGGCCAUAGCAACAUGUCUGUCUUGGAACAGAUCCAGCGUGGAUGAACAAACAGAAGAAUGUUUAAGAAGCCUUGUUACUGAAAGAGACCAAAGGUGAGUUCUGGGCCUGUCCACCAGAAACUUGAAUGACCAAUAACAGGAUAUUCACACAGUCAUUUUAUUUCUCAACAAAUUGUCAAUUUGACCAAGCAGAUAAUGAAUGGUGACUUAUUACUAGUUGGCAACUUCUCAAAAAGUCUGUGGUUGAGAAAGACCCUCAUUUCUCAUAACUCCAGCCAAUACUGAAUUACCCUGUCAAUCAGCACAUGUAGCUGGUUCCAUGAGUGUUGUUGUUAGUGGCAGCUGAGGCAUCUAAUACGAAUAAGACAUAUUUCUUAUUCACAAGAGAAGCUCAGAGUCAGUGGGAGAAAAAGAUGUGCAUUCUCACAUGCAAUGAGAGCUAUAAUAAAUGUAUGGAGAAGGUGCUACCAGAACACAGAGGGUUGGUUGAUUGAUUGAAAAAGUAUGAGGAAGAGGGGGAAGGAUCAGUAGAAUUUACCAAAAGGAAGGAUGAUUUAAGCAAAGAAGUGUAUCAGGUAUAAACACAUGAAGUCAGAGUAUUGGGCCUUUUCAGGGUAUAAGUGUACAAGGUACAGGGUACCUCAAGAGUCAUAAUCUCUGAGUGUUCAAGAGGUAUAUUUUUCCCAAUAAAUCCUAUUUUCGAGACUCGUGUCUUACUUUGAGCUCAAAAUCUAAUUUGAAACACACAUCUUAGCAAUAACCUCUUUGUCCCAACUGUCUCAGAUGAAUGCAUUGACCCCAGAAGUGGAAUUAUUGCUGGCGAGAUGGACAAACCUUACCCAGCAACUCUCACACUGUCACAUCCAGCCUGGAGUAGGAGCAGAGAAAAGCAGCUGUUCUGGGGUGGCCUUGGGUACAGAGAAAGGUCAGCCAGGCUUCAGGUCCACAGAAGGAGGGGACCUCUAGACUGAAGGCUGACACAGGAUCCAUGGUCAUCAGCUAUAGGGACUAGCACAGAAGACCAGAGGGACUUCACUCCUCUAGAUCCUAGAAGAAGAUUCCCUCUAUGGACCUCAGAUUCUCUUUAUAAAAUGACUGACUCUGACAGGGAUCCGCCAUUGGAAGGCUGUGUCUUAGGGUUCCAUGCAGAUACCUCAGUGGCUGGAGAUGAGAAAAAGUGAGACCAAGUUGGGAAGGCUAAACCUCCCCACCCUCACUCCAACCAAAGUAUUCUGAUUCCAUCAGAAACCCACAUAAGAUAAAGUUUGAAAACAGUUUGUUUUCUAGUUAUGAACGUGGAAAUCUUGGAAGAGAGAAUCAAGUGCUGACUCUCUCUGAUUCUAAGCCUCCUUUACUUCCUAGGCAAUCCCAUAGUACUUGAUUUAUGUAUCUCUAGAAUAUACAAUUUGACCUUGUAUGUUAGUCCAUUUUGCAUUAUUAAACCAACAUACCUGACACUGGAAAAUUUUAUAAAGAAGUUCAUAUAGCUCAUAUUUUGGGAAACUAAAAGUCCACACAAUCUGGAAGAGCAGGAGCUCUAUAGUGGGUAAUGAAGCACAUGCAGGAGAAAGGAAUCACAUCUCCAUAUGGGAAACCCAAGGGAGACUCAGGACUCCACCCUGGAGACCAGGCUUCCAACACAUGAACCUCUAGAAAAACAAGAAUAUACAAAUUAUAGCACCUUGUAUUAUUCUUUCUUUCAAAUAUUUGUACCUAUGUUUUCUCUUCUGAUUCUUUUCCAUUCUCUGCAAAAGCAAGUAUAUGGCUGUUCAAUAUUUCUAGACCUACUGGCCUCCUUCCUGUUCUUCAGAUCCACCACGCUCAUACCUUAGGGCCUUUGCAUUUGAAGUUUCCUCUAUGUAGAGUACCUUCUCCCUGAUGUCCAUAAAACUUGCUCCUUUACUUUUUUUAGGUACCUUAUCAAAUGUGGCCUUAUAUGAUGACCUUUCCUGAACACCUUAGAUAUAUCAGAACUCACAUUCCUCUUAUACUCUCUCUCUCUCUCUCCAAAGUCCCCUUAUUUUGCUUUAAUUUUCCCAUAGCACCACUUGCCAUAUUUUACAUUUCAUUUUUUGCUUCCCAUCUUACAAGAAUGUAAACUAUGGAGGGCAGGGACAGGGACUUUUCCACUGGGAAAUAGGACGCUGGAACAAAGAGUAGCACAGAAUUAUUACCCAAUCACCAGAAGCUCUUGAGACUCAUUGCCUGUCCAUCCAAGACUUCCUGUUACAUAAAGGUAGGAUCCUACCUGCAGCAACUCACAGUUUAGCGAAGUUUUCUUUUUGUCUAUAAUAUUCCAAACCAGUGGGCCAACAAAACUCAAUCCCAGUACUGACAACACCUGGACAGAGUGAUAAAGAGUAUAGAAUUUGGAGGCAGAGAAUUUGAAGUUUAGUCAUAACCAUGUUAUGAACUGGGAAAUGGGGAAUUAGGCAAGUUACUUCAUGUCUCCAAGCUUCAGUUGACCUAUCUGUAAAAUGAGGUAAUUAUUGACCUAUUAUGUGUGAGGAUAUAUAAAGCAGCAUGUGAAAAGUAGUAUGCAAUCUGUAAGGAACCAUAUUAGAUGUGGCUUCUGGAGAUGAGGAAGUAGGAAAUGUAGGCUUUAAGUUGCCCUUCAGCCCAUAUAGGAACUUCUGUUCCUCACCUGAUUUCUUUGGCAAUGGAGAUAAGAAUACCUGUCUCUACAAGAGGAAGUGAGGGGAAAGGGAAAAAUAAUACAAGGGGGAGAAAUGAAUGACAGUAG